RNAcentral lists this ribosomal RNA (682 nucleotides) under Limosilactobacillus fermentum. RNAcentral's name for it is "bacterial SSU rRNA". It matches the Rfam family "Bacterial small subunit ribosomal RNA", at positions 31 to 669 of the family's 1533-position model. Lineage: Bacteria; Bacillati; Bacillota; Bacilli; Lactobacillales; Lactobacillaceae. The record is from RNAcentral.
GAACGCGGGCGGUGUGCGUAAUACGUGCAAGUCGAACGCGUUGGCCCAAUUGAUUGAGGGUGCUUGCACCUGAUUGAUUUUGGUCGCCAACGAGUGGCGGACGGGUGAGUAACACGUAGGUAACCUGCCCAGAAGCGGGGGACAACAUUUGGAAACAGAUGCUAAUACCGCAUAACAACGUUGUUCGCAUGAACAACGCUGAAAAGAUGGCUUCUCGCUAUCACUUCUGGAUGGACCUGCGGUGCAUUAGCUUGUUGGUGGGGUAACGGCCUACCAAGGCGAUGAUGCAUAGCCGAGUUGAGAGACUGAUCGGCCACAAUGGGACUGAGACACGGCCCAAACUCCUACGGGAGGCAGCACUAGGGAAUCUUCCACAAUGGGCGCAAGCCUGAUGGAGCAACACCGCGUGAGUGAAGAAGGGUUUCGGCUCGUAAAACUCUGUUGUUAAAGAAGAACACGUAUGAGAUUAACUGUUCAUACGUUGACGGUAUUUAACCAGAAAGCCACGGCUAACUACGUGCCAGCAGCCGCGGUAAUACGUAGGUGGCAAGCGUUAUCCGGAUUUAUUGGGCGUAAAGAGAGUGCAGGCGGUUUUCUAAGUCUGAUGUGAAAGCCUUCGGCUUAACCGGAGAAGUGCAUCGGAAACUGGAUAACUUGAGUGCAGAAGAGGGUAGUGGAACUC